CCUACGGGUGGCAGCAGUGGGGGAUAUUGCACAAUGGGGGAAACCCUGAUGCAGCGACGCCGCGUGGGCGAAGAAGUAUUUCGGUAUGUAAAGCCCUAUUAGCAGGGAAGAAGAAAUGACGGUACCUGAGUAAGAAGCACCGGCUAAAUACGUGCCAGCAGCCGCGGUCAUACGUAGGGUGCAAGCGUUAUCCGGAUUUACUGGGUGUAAAGGGAGCGCAGGCGGGACGGCAAGCCUGAUGUGAAAGCCCGCGGCCCAACCGCGGGACUGCAUUGGGAACCGCCGGGCUGGAGUGCCGGAGAGGUAGGCGGAAUGCCUGGUGUAGCGGUGAAAUGCGUAGAUAUUAGAAGGAACACCAGUGGCGAAGGCAGCCUACUAGACGGUGACUGACGCUGAGGCUCGAAAGCGUGGGGAGCAAACAGGAUUAGAUACCCUGGUAGUC
This 442-nucleotide ribosomal RNA is filed under the name uncultured bacterium. Its description in RNAcentral is "partial 16S ribosomal RNA". It matches the Rfam family "Bacterial small subunit ribosomal RNA", at positions 338 to 795 of the family's 1533-position model. The record is from RNAcentral.